RNAcentral lists this ribosomal RNA (445 nucleotides) under uncultured bacterium. Its description in RNAcentral is "partial 16S ribosomal RNA". It matches the Rfam family "Bacterial small subunit ribosomal RNA", at positions 354 to 796 of the family's 1533-position model. The record is from RNAcentral.
GUGGGGAAUCUUGGACAAUGGGCGCAAGCCUGAUCCAGCCAUGCCGCGUGCAGGAAGACGCAUCUAUGGUGUGUAAACUGCUUUUGUACGGGAAGAAACACUCCCUCGUGAGGGAGCUUGACGGUACCGUAAGAAUAAGGAUCGGCUAACUCCGUGCCAGCAGCCGCGGUAAUACGGAGGAUCCAAGCGUUAUCCGGAAUCAUUGGGUUUAAAGGGUCCGUAGGCGGUUUAAUAAGUCAGUGGUGAAAGCCCAUCGCUCAACGAUGGAACGGCCAUUGAUACUGUUAGACUUGAAUUACAAGGAAGUAACUAGAAUAUGUAGUGUAGCGGUGAAAUGCUUAGAUAUUACAUGGAAUACCAAUUGCGAAGGCAGGUUACUACUUGUGGAUUGACGCUGAUGGACGAAAGCGUGGGGAGCGAACAGGAUUAGAUACCCGUGUAGUCC